UACGUAGGGUGCAAGCAUUAAUCGGAAUUAUUGGGCGUAAAGAGUUUGUAGGUGGUUUAGAAAGUCAAAUGUUAAAGAAUAGAGCUCAACUCUGUUAAGGCAUUUGAUACUUCUUCACUAGAGUUAUAUCGAGGGUUAAAGAAUUCUUAGUGUAGCGCUGAUAUGCUUAGAUAUUAAGAGGAAAACCGAAUGCGAAGGCAUUAACCUAGGUAAUAACUGACACUGAGAAACGAAAGCGUGGGGAGCGAAAAGG
RNAcentral lists this ribosomal RNA (253 nucleotides) under uncultured bacterium. RNAcentral's name for it is "partial 16S ribosomal RNA". It matches the Rfam family "Bacterial small subunit ribosomal RNA", at positions 524 to 776 of the family's 1533-position model. The record is from RNAcentral.